Nicotiana attenuata is the source of this 856-nucleotide long non-coding RNA. RefSeq lists it as uncharacterized. Lineage: Eukaryota; Viridiplantae; Streptophyta; Magnoliopsida; Solanales; Solanaceae. The record is from RefSeq and is a predicted model, not a curated record. The transcript has 5 exons.
GCGGGUCUCUCCUCCAGUCAUCUCCAAAAUAGAUCAUCCAGUACUCCCAAAAUCACCUUCAAAUUAGAUCAAAAUCAGCAAAAAUCAGUCAAAAAAGACCUCAAAAUUCCAAUAUAUAGCGAAUUAGAGAGUUGUUUGCGGGAUUCAAGAGCUCUCUUCGCGAUUGGGAUCGAGAUUACGAAGCCUUUGCAUCACUACCUGAUUCCGCUAUUGAUUUAGAGAGACUAAGCUCAGCUUUUUAGGGCUUCUGUUUUUCUGCAGAGUCAACAAUCGUGUUCCUUCUGCGGUAAUUCGUUUUCCUUCAAAGAGACCUCAUCAGCAAAUCGAGUUGAGGCCGCGCUCAGCUGCUGCUCUUCGUAAUCUCCUUCUCCGGCGAACUCGGCUGAGAAAUCGAGUGGCUCAACAACUCCUCCAUAAUCGACGGCACCGGAGGCGGUACCCUUUAGAGUUUCUCCAAAUCUGAAAAUCGGUUAUUCAACUCCAGGGUGAUCAGAGAAAGAAUGUUUCUGCAUUUCUUGUCCAGAUUCCUUUGCAAUACUCUGUGAGUUUCAAAGCUGUGAGCCAGCUAGGAAAAAUUUUCCAUGCUUUUCAAAGAUUGUGCGUGGAUGGGAAACAAACAAAUCUUGAGAGAUCCAUAACUAGGUGAAAGGUGGAGUAGAUGAAGAGAUGGAAGACGGAGGCAGUGGUGAAGAUCUAGGCCUUACUUGAAUUUUGAAUCGUUGAUUGUUGUAGAUGCAUGUGGCAGUUUCUAGGAAUGUUUAUUAUCAAAAUAUUUUAAAACUUUUGAUCUUGAAAUAUCAGAUGUAUGUUAUUGGUUUCAUCACUAUAUCUAUGGAUUUGUUAUUAGCUUGUCGGA